GGAACACUCGUGGCGAAGGCGAGUCACUGGACAGUAUCGGACGCUGAGGCACGAAGGCCAGGGUAGCGAAAGGGAUUAGAUACCCCUGUAGUCCUGGCAGUAAACGGUGUGCGCUUGGUGUGAGGGGAUUCGACCCCCCUUGUGCCGGAGCUAACGCGUUAAGCGCACCGCCUGGGAAGUACGGCCGCAAGGCUAAAACUCAAAGAAAUUGACGGGGACCCGCACAAGCGGUGGAGUAUGUGGCUUAAUUCGAUGCAACGCGAAGAACCUUACCAAGGCUUGACAUGCAUCUCUAAGCGCGUGAAAGCGCGUGACCCUUCGGGGGAUUUGCUCAGGUGCUGCAUGGCCGUCGUCAGCUCGUGUCGUGAGAUGUUGGGUUAAGUCCCGCAACGAGCGCAACCCUUGUGACUAGUUGCCAGCACGUCAUGGUGGGAACUCUAGUCAGACUGCCCAGAUCAACUGGGAGGAAGGUGGGGACGACGUCAGGUCAGUAUGGCCCUUACGCCUUGGGCUGCACACGUACUACAAUGCCCAGCACAAUGAGAACCGAGACCGCGAGGUGGAGGAAAUCUGCAAAACUGGGCCCAGUUCGGAUUGGAGGCUGCAACUCGCCUCCAUGAAGCCGGAAUCGCUAGUAAUGACGCAUCAGCUACGGCGUCGUGAAUACGUUCCCGGGUCUUGUACACACCGCCCGUCACAUCAUGGAAGCCGGUCGCACCCGAAGUGCC
RNAcentral lists this ribosomal RNA (728 nucleotides) under uncultured Verrucomicrobium sp. Its description in RNAcentral is "bacterial SSU rRNA". It matches the Rfam family "Bacterial small subunit ribosomal RNA", at positions 703 to 1430 of the family's 1533-position model. The record is from RNAcentral. Lineage: Bacteria; Pseudomonadati; Verrucomicrobiota; Verrucomicrobiia; Verrucomicrobiales; Verrucomicrobiaceae.